RNAcentral lists this unclassified non-coding RNA (378 nucleotides) under uncultured bacterium. RNAcentral describes it as "contains 16S-23S intergenic spacer region". The record is from RNAcentral.
UCCGGUUUAACACCGGCAGUCCCCUCAGAGUGCCCAACUUAAUGGUGGCAACUAAGGGCAAGGGUUGCGCUCGUUGCGGGACUUAACCCAACAUCUUACGACACGAGCUGACGACAGCCAUGCAGCACCUAUCUCCUUGUCCCCGAAGGGAAGGCCGCAUCUCCGCGGAUGUCAAGGGAUGUUAAGCCCAGGUAAGGUUCUGCGCGUUGCUUCGAAUUAAACCACAUACUCCACCGCUUGUGCGGGCCCCCGUCAAUUCCUUUGAGUUUUAGCCUUGCGGCCGUACUCCCCAGGCGGGGUACUUAAUGCGUUAGCUACGGCACGGAUCCCAAGGAAGGAAACCCACACCUAGUACCCACCGUUUACGGCGUGGACUAC